This is a non-coding RNA of Blastocladiella emersonii ATCC 22665, 82 nucleotides long. The record is from the annotation of a GenBank genome assembly. Lineage: Eukaryota; Fungi; Blastocladiomycota; Blastocladiomycetes; Blastocladiales; Blastocladiaceae.
GUUCAGGUGGCCGAGCGGUCUAAGGCGCUAGUUUCAGGUACUAGUCUCUUCGGAGGCGAGGGUUCGAAUCCCUUCCUGGACA